This 380-nucleotide ribosomal RNA is filed under the name uncultured bacterium. Its description in RNAcentral is "bacterial SSU rRNA". It matches the Rfam family "Bacterial small subunit ribosomal RNA", at positions 28 to 413 of the family's 1533-position model. The record is from RNAcentral.
GACGAACGCUGGCGGCGUGCUUAACACAUGCAAGUCACGGGGGCUUGGGGGCGACUCUGAGCAACCGGCGAACGGGUGCGUAACACGUGAGCAACCUGCCGAUCUGUGGGGGAUAGCCGGGCUAACGCCCGGGUAAUACCGCAUACGGUUCCUGCGAGGCGUCUUGCGGGAAAGAAACCUCUGGGGCAGAUCGAGGGGCUCGCGGCCUAUCAGCUGGUUGGGGGGUAAUGCCCACCAAGGCGACGAUGGGUAGCUGGUCUGAGAGGAUGGCCAGCCACAUUGGGACUGAGAGACGGCCCAGACUCCUACGGGAGGCAGCAGUGGGGAAUCUUGCGCAAUGGCCGCAAGGCUGACGCAGCGACGCCGCGUGUGGGAGGACG